Molecule: non-coding RNA, 2527 nt
Organism: Pelodiscus sinensis (Chinese soft-shelled turtle)
Lineage: Eukaryota; Metazoa; Chordata; Testudines; Trionychidae
Source: RefSeq, a predicted model, not a curated record
UAAUCUUUCCAUUACUUAGAAAAGCAAUUAAAAAUCAACUUUCAGCUGAACUUUCCUUUUUAUUGCGGGGCAAAAGAAAGGGUUUGGGGGGAGAAGAGAAAGAAUAUUUUUUCCUCUUCCCAGAGCCCAACAUUUGGCUUUUUCCAUUUGUGGCAGAUCACUGUAACUCUAUUGUAAAACAACUUCCUGCCCCUUUUGGCACAAGUUCCAGAAGCUGCUAGGCUAAGUUCAUAGCACAAACUUUUUCCCCCUUGCUGAAGAAGCAAGACAAAAAAAAAAAGGUCCUUGCUAAUUAUUUUGCCCUCUUUUUUGCUAAUGGAUUUAUAAGAUGAAUUUAUUGCAGUUCCCUUAAGAAUGUGACAAAAGAGACGCCUGUAUUCCAGCUGGACAUUUCAUAAGCUUAAAAGUAAAGUAAGAAACUGAAGACAAUCAAGCACAUCUUUAUUCUGUGUCUGAACUGGGAGAACUUUUGGGGGAUGGAAGAGGAAGAACUAAAAUGUAUCUUACAUCAUGAAACUACGGUGACAACUGCAGAACUGACGUUAAUUUGAAUUUAUCUCAGAACUUACAUCUGUUACCAUAACCCUAACUUAAGAGUGAAAGUAAUCAAAUUUUAGGUCACUGAACAGAAAAAUUAAGGUUUGGAAGAGAUAAGGGCAAACAAUUUAAUUCCAUUCACCAUUCUGAACGGAGGAAGGAUUCCAUAAAGGGAAGUGGAAACAUUAUUUUAAGGUCAAGUACAGUGAAAAUAACUACUCAAGGGACCAACAAAAGUCAGUUGCAUAAUAGAGCUGGUCAUCAAAAUAAGGUGGAACCACAGUGAAUUCAAUACAUUUGGGGAUUGUUUUGAGGAGAGAGUCGCAACUGAUGAAGCUGCAUAACAACACUGGCUCCUUCAUAAGUUUCACUGUGUAAAUCACAUUUAGAAUCCAUAAUGUUGUUAAAGUGCUACGUAUAUUUAUUUUUGUAAUCUGUAUAACAUUUAUCGCUGUAGUGGCAAUUAAUUAAAUGUCAGAUUAUCUUGAAGGAGAACCAACCUUGCUAUUGAGAUCUACAAUGCAUAUGAGAUUAUUAAAUUGUUAACAGUGACACCAAUACUACAGAAUCAACUUUAACAUCUGCAAUGGAGUGUUUGUCACUUUCGUACACCCUGACAGAGAUAAAGUUAUUUUGAAAAGAGUGAAAACUACGGUUGAAUCAACUACUAGGAGAGGAGGUUAAAUGUUCAGAAAGCACUUCAGCAAGAAAAUAUCCAUAAUGUCCCCAUUCAGUUUGAUGAUUUAAGAGGUGGUAUCUUUUGGUAUGUACCAAAAACACUUAAUACUACAUAAUACUGGAUAGAUUAUUUACUGAGAAAAUUGAAAUUAACUGUAAGACAUCUCUUAAUGAAAGAAAAACUUGUUUACUAACAGAAAUCUUAAUGUGACAUUGUCAGAUCAACUGAGGUGCUCAUUUUAGUUUUUAAAGAGAAAGGAGCAUUUUACAAAACUUAGAUUGAAAGAAAUAUUUUCUUUAUUUUUCUAAAAGUUCCAGUUCUAGAAGUCUUUUUGUUUAGAUCAAACAUUCCCCUAUAAAGUCAGCACCCCACACAUUGUAUCUCUGUACUAGUACAUUACAACUAAAAUAUGAAAAGUCACUAAACAAAGCACAUAAGAACUCGCUCAUCUAUUUUCACUCCCCAAACUAAGCAUACAGCAAAAAGGCAAACAAUAUGACUGCCUGUAUGCAAAAGGUGAAAAGUUAUUUUCUAUUUUCAAUAUUCAGUAUUCUAAAUAUAGCUUGUUAACACUGGAAAGGAACUUAAAUAUAUAAGAUUUCUGACCUGACAGUGAUCCUCCUAUUAGACAACAUAGGACAUAAUACACAUUUUUAAAAAUUCUGAAUUGUGUGAAAACAUUAGGUUAUUGAACAGAAAGAUUUUAAAAAUCUUUUUAUGUGUUACUAUCUAAAUAUUUUAUUUUUGCACUUCUCUUCAUUUGGACAAGGAAAAGUUAUUGGCAAAUUUCAGUGUUUUAUAUAGUCACUUUUAUUUGCCAUUUCUCAUGUACUAGCACCAGACUGUUUGCUUGGUUCCAUAGCAGAACCAUUCUCAGUAAGAUCAAAUAAAAAAAUCAUAAACAUUCUAUUUGUAAUGGGUUUUGUUUCAAUCACCUUAUUUUCUGUUUUAUUACUCAAUCCAAAUUUUGGACCUAAAGUAGCUGACAGUUAUCAUUUAAAUACACAUAAUUCCCAAAAUACAUUAUUUUGUUUUAAAGACAAGAAUUUUUUUUUUUAAUUUGAGAUUGAUAGAAUUCAAAGAAAAGAAAGUUUCAAAAGGAGUGAACUGAAAGGAUCAGGCAAAAAUAAGUGACAGAUUAUUUGCAGUCUUGCUGAAGCAUUACAUUUUCUAGGCUAUAUUUAUCUUUGUUCAAAUAGGUCAAAUUCUUACUAUAUCAUACAGCUCAAUCACAUGGCCCUGGUCCACUGGAGGGAGUUAUUUCAAAAUAAUUCCCUUUAUUUUGAAAUAAUAAGCGGAGCGUCCAUAGUA